AGAUGAAGACUGGCUUGUGCAGAAUCCUUCUGCUAUCUUAUGCAUACAAAAGGGAAGCCUAAACCAAGUGUUAGUACGAGGUUUCAGUGAAAACCGCUGGUGGCUAUGCACCCUUGGAACUGAAGAUGGCUUUCUGCUAUACCGUGACUGUGUACAAAAUGCUGCCUUUCAAGUUGGAAUUACAAGGACCACCGCGGACAGGUCUGCCCUGUGAGGCCUGAGGGAAUAGGGCUGUUUGAAAUGGUGGGAAGGGGACCAGCAUGGAGGUGGUGUGUCCCCCACCAGCACCCCGGAUUGGAAAAGACCCAUCAGAAGAGUCUGAAUACGAUGUCUGCUUGUGAUGUUCAAGAUGCCUUUUCCUGUAUGAGGAGACGAGUUACAGCUUUUGUGACGUUACUGUCGUCAGCCUCCGGCAGAGGUGGUGGUACCUACCCAGUGUUAAGCAAAGUCGAGCAUUUCACAGUGAAGCUGAUGUUGGCCAACUUUGAUGUGUAACUGAGGUCUUGACUCCCUUUUUAUCUAGGCUGUUCUGGAAGCAGAUUUUUUCCGGACCUCCAAUACUAGUACUGGGAAAUGGCGUUGCUAAAAGAAUUGAAGUUUGUACACGCCAGAACAGGGAUCAGAGUAAAUGAUAUAUUAGAAGGCUGCUCCUUGGUUAAAUGAUUGGUUUUGGACAUAAAACAAGCCUUCGAGUUAAAUGAAAUGAGUAAGAAGGUAUUUUCAAGCACUAAAAUACGUGACAAAAGAUAGGAAAGUGGUGGGGUUUAUGUUUAAAGAAAAAACAACAGUGUGGAUUGUGUUUAAGUUGCAGUAGAGUUUAAAAGAGCUCAGAAGUAUUAGUUACCUAGAGAAAUUGUAUGAGCCAGCAACAGCUUAAAAGGACUGGAAUGAAAUGUUAACCAAUGGGGAGAUUAAAGCUGCAGCAAGAUUUCACUGUCUGUGCAGUUGAGUUGGAAGUUAUGAUAAAAAUGCCUGCUGUCCUAAUGUAGCCCAAUAAAAAGAUGAAAAACCAUGAAUGAAAUGAAUAAUGGAAGAUGAAUUUUGAUGCGAAGAGAUUUUAACAUUGCACUGUAAUAUAUCACCAUGUUUUUGUGAGGGUUUCUCUAUCUAUUAUAAAACUGUUUCAAACUGAUCUAUGAAUAACAGGAUGUUUAUGUUCUAUUUCCUGAA
Pygoscelis adeliae (Adelie penguin) is the source of this 1170-nucleotide long non-coding RNA. RefSeq lists it as uncharacterized. The record is from RefSeq and is a predicted model, not a curated record. The transcript is spliced from 3 exons. NCBI's taxonomy places the organism in Eukaryota, Metazoa, Chordata, Aves, Sphenisciformes, Spheniscidae.